UGCGCACGCGCAGGAUUGGGAGGGGCUUGGAAGAGGCGUGUGGGGUGGGGUUUCUCGAAUGCGGCCGCCAGGGCUGUCCCGCGGCUAGGACAACCCCCGGGCGGGGGGGGCCAAUGCUUGGCCCCUCCCUCAGACAGGUGGGACUCGAGGCUGAAGAAGGAGCAAGGAAUUCAGGACCGAAAACCUAUUACACACUCUCUCUAUUUUUUGGCUGGCGUUAGCUACUCUUGUGCUACCAUUUGGCAUUCCAUGAAAAGGAUCUCUUACAUCUGCAUAUAAUUACAGCAUUCAGCUCAAUCUGCUGUGUGUUGGGUCAUCAGGAAUCAUAAACAAGAGAGCUUUUAUUUAAAAAAAAAAAAAGUCACUUUCCAGAGCAUUCACCUGCCUCCUACUUGAUCAUCAGUGGCCUGCCAUGGGGUAGCUGCUGUGACUGAUUGUAUAACCUACUGAAGGCCACCACCGUGGCAGUUGAAUGUGCUCCUGUGGCUGUAUCUGCACACGAUCCUGGCUCCUCAGGGGUUGCCUGGCCAGGAUGAGAGCCCUUUCAGAACUGCAGAGGGGGCUGCACUGCUCAUCUGUAAGCAGAUAUCUUCUUGUGUGAGCCUUGUGGCUGGAGGGAUGGGUGACUGAUGCCCUUAUUACUGUGUCUUUGUGUAUAGUUUAUUUUACAACUUCCAAAGUGCACUAGCUUCUGCUCCAGUGGCAGCAUGGGUCAGUGCCUUUAUUAGGCUGCAGCUAGAGGAGAAUGACAUCCACUCCUAGGGUGCUGCUAGAAGUCAUCUCAUUUGAUAUGACCUGUAGCAAUCCUUAGUUAAGGAGAGGUGAAGUCCCCUAGAAAUAAUCCUGCUGACAUGGGUAAACAGCUCUAUAAAGAUCUAGUGCAUGAGAUGAAAGGCCUGGCCAACAUCAGUCCCCCUGGUAUUGUCAGAGUCUGAUGGUUCCUAUGUCAGCCCCAGAGACAGGCAGUUGAGGCAGCUUGGUGCUAAUCCUGUCCCUUUUUCAGCCUUCGCUCUUGCCAUACAGUUGCUGAGCAGUCUUGCAGAAACUACCAAAGACUUGAGCUUUGCUCCUUGUGCUUCUGUAGCUUCUUCUUUGUAGGCCAGAUCCCCCAGCUGGUGAAAGUCAGUAUAGUUCCACUAUGUCAAUUCUUCCAAAGAGAUCGAAGCAUACUGGACAUAAUCUGUUUUGCCAUUUCUUGCCUCUGUCAGAUUCAAAUCAAUCCAUCUUGCAGUGAAGGAAAGCAUGGACUGCUGUUUGCAUCAGCCUCAAGGCUGGGGCUGGUGAUGCAAGAGAACACUUUUCCUACAUCAGUUUUCAUUUGCUGGAGUCACAUUGGCUUAGUCGGAGGCAGUGCUGAUGCAAUGCUGAAAGGGGGAAAAAAAAAAAACAAUGAAAACAUCAUUGGUUUAAGAUUAGAGUGCACACAGCAAAAGCCAGUGCUUCACCUUUUAACUUUAUCCUUUACAUACUUUUACUGACUCAGCUCCACUGGCUGGAGUGUGUGCACUUGAGGAAAAAGCAGUUACAUGACCCACCUCUGCCUUGCCCUUCCCUGCCUUCUUAUGGGUUUCUAGUUCUACUGGUGGCAGUGGAAUGUCAGCAGCAGCAGGACGGAGAUUAUGGCUGACACUUGCGCAGAUACACAAGUGUGUGAGGGAGGAGGUGAAGGUCCUUGUGCACCUCCACAGUGCUGGCCACAAUCGAGCCUGAAAUCUUUUUAAAAUAGUGUAUUUAAAUACCCUUAGAUGGGCAUUUGGCAUAAAUCAGAUGAAAAGUGUUUGAAAAGGUUAACAAUCUAAAAGUUAUAGCAGGCUUUGAAUAGGAAUUACAGCCCCCUAGAAACAAGCCCGCUUGGCAAGCGGUCCCACAGCACAUUGUUUGUCCCUAGGAUGUCUCAGUUACCAAACACCGGACCUGAACUGGUUUCCUACAGUAGUAAUUCCAGCUAUCAGAAAAGCUCUGAGAAAGCUUGGUUUUCACUAAAGAGCUCUCAUGAUGAGAAAAAAAUGUAUAUUUUCGGCAAACAUAUGAGCAGCAUAUUUCCAUUCUCAUUAUGCUGCAUCCUAACAAUGUGUCAGCUUAAAAAAGAUUACAUCUUUCUACUCUCAGAAAAGUAGAGACAUCAAAACUU
Chelonia mydas (Green sea turtle) is the source of this 2131-nucleotide long non-coding RNA. RefSeq lists it as uncharacterized. The record is from RefSeq and is a predicted model, not a curated record. NCBI's taxonomy places the organism in Eukaryota, Metazoa, Chordata, Testudines, Cheloniidae. The transcript has 3 exons.